GGCAGCAGCUAAGAAUAUUCCGCAAUGGGGGAAACCCUGACGGAGCGACGCCGCGUGGAUGAUGAAGGCCGGAAGGUUGUAAAAUCCUUUUAGAUAUGAGGAAUAAGCAGGGUGAGAGAAACGCCCUGUGGUGACUGUAGUAUCAGAAUAAGGGGCGGCUAAUUACGUGCCAGCAGCCGCGGUAACACGUAAGCCCCGAGCGUUGUUCGGAAUUAUUGGGCGUAAAGGGCAUGUAGGCGGCUUUGCAAGUCUGGUGUGAAAGGCAGGAGCUUAACUCCUGGACUGCGCUGGAAACUGCAUGGCUUGAGUCACUGAGGGGCAUCCGGAAUUCCUGGUGUAGGGGUGAAAUCUGUAGAUAUCAGGAAGAACACCGAUGGCGAAGGCAGGGUGCCAGCGGAUGACUGACGCUGAGGUGCGAAGGUGCGGGGAGCAAACAGGAUUAGAUACCCUGGUAGUCCGCACAGUCAACGAUGUACACUGGGUGUCCGUUCAUGAGAAUGGGUGCCGAAGCAAACGCGAUAAGUGUACCGCCUGGGGAGUAUGCCCGCAAGGGUGAAACUCAAGGAAUUGACGG
This 574-nucleotide ribosomal RNA is filed under the name uncultured rumen bacterium. Its description in RNAcentral is "bacterial SSU rRNA". It matches the Rfam family "Bacterial small subunit ribosomal RNA", at positions 347 to 916 of the family's 1533-position model. The record is from RNAcentral.